This 703-nucleotide ribosomal RNA is filed under the name Microidium phyllanthi. Its description in RNAcentral is "eukaryotic LSU rRNA". It matches the Rfam family "Eukaryotic large subunit ribosomal RNA", at positions 57 to 771 of the family's 3401-position model. Lineage: Eukaryota; Fungi; Ascomycota; Leotiomycetes; Helotiales; Erysiphaceae. The record is from RNAcentral.
AAAAGAAACCAACCGGGAUUACCUCAGUAACGGCGAGUGAAGCGGUAAUAGCUCAAAUUUGAAAUCUGGCUCCUUUGGAGCCCGAGUUGUAAUUUGUAGAAGACGCUUUGGGUUGUGGGCUUGGCCUAAGUUCCUUGGAACAGGACGUCAUAGAGGGUGAGAAUCCCGUAUGUGGUCGAGACCCUACGCCUAUGUAAAGCUCUUUCGACGAGUCGAGUUGUUUGGGAAUGCAGCUCAAAAUGGGUGGUAAAUUUCAUCUAAAGCUAAAUAUUGGCCAGAGACCGAUAGCGCACAAGUAGAGUGAUCGAAAGAUGAAAAGCACUUUGGAAAGAGAGUUAAAUAGUACGUGAAAUUGUUGAAAGGGAAGCGCUUGCACCCAGACUUGGGCGUUGUUGAUCAUCCGAGGUUCUGCCUCGGUGCACUCGACAAUGUGCAGGCCAGCAUCGGUUUGACUGGCUGGACAAAGGUCCUAGGAACGUAACUCCUCGCGGGGAGUGUUAUAGCCUAGGGCGUCAUGCAGCCCAGUCGGACCGAGGACCGCGCCUUUUGGGCUAGGAUGCUGGCGUAAUGGGUGUAAGCGACCCGUCUUGAAACACGGACCAAGGAGUCUAACAUCUAUGCGAGUGUUUGGGCGUUAAACCCAUACGCGGAAUGAAAGUGAACGUAGGUGAGAACCCGUUUAGGGUGCAUCAUCGACCGAUCC